Molecule: ribosomal RNA, 752 nt
Filed under: Longidorus kuiperi
Lineage: Eukaryota; Metazoa; Nematoda; Enoplea; Dorylaimida; Longidoridae
Description: partial 28S ribosomal RNA
Rfam family: Eukaryotic large subunit ribosomal RNA
Source: RNAcentral
AGGAAAGUUGAAAAGAACUUUGAAGAGAGAGUUCAAAAGGGCGUGAAACCGCUUAGAAUAAAACGGACGGAGCCGUCAGUGGCCUUCCGGAAUCAGUCGCAUGACGCGCGAUAAUGCAUCUCGCUAGAGCGAAAGUCUGGCGGGUGUAUUAGGAAAUAGUAGCGUUCAUUCGAUGCAUUUCCGGAGGGUAUGCGCCACGACCGAUGCGAAAGGCUAGUGAAUCUGGCGAAUUGAGGUGGAAUCCCUUCGGGGUAUUCAGUACCAGUUCGUCAGCCUAUAGUCGCUAGACCGCAGUAUGCAUCGAGCGCGGAAUACAUCGAACACUGGCAAAAGUGCUCGCUUAAGCGAUGGAUAGUCGGCGGAAUAUUCUGUACCUGCUUGCAGGUUAUGUUUGUUCCCGUUCGGUCUUUGAAUUCGCUGGCGAGUUUAUAGUGUUCGGGCGUCAGUGGCGUCCGAGACGGUCAACCGUCCGACCCGUCUUGAAACACGGACCAAGGAGUCUAACGUAUGCGCGAGCUAAUGAGUGGAAAACUCAUAAGCGCAAUAAAAGUAAAAGCCGUUUCGGACGGUGCGGGGUACGAUCCCGUGGUAUUUAUUUAUCCCGGGCGCAGUACCAUCCCAUCCUGAUCGCUUGUCGGUAGGGUGGAGAUAGAGUGCAUACGUUGGGACCCGAAAGAUGGUGAACUAUGCCUGAGCAGAGCGAAGCCAGAGGAAACUCUGGUGGAGGUUCGUAGCGGUUCUGACGUGCAAAU